GGAUUCGAGUAGUAGCAUGUAUGGUGGGACCCGAAAGAUGGUGAACUAUGCCUGAAUAGGACGAAGCCAGGGGAAACUCUGGUGGAGGUUCGAUUGGAUUCUAACGUGCAAAUUGAUCUUUAAAUUUGGGUAUAGGGGCGAAAGACUAAUCGAACCAUCUAGUAGCUGGUUCCUUCCGAAAUUUCCCUCAGGAUAGCUGCAACUUGUGAAAUAGUUUUAUGAGGUAAAGCGAAUGAUUAGAGGCUUCGGGAAUGUAAUAUUCUUGACCUAUUCUCAAACUUUAAAUGGGUAAGAAUCGCUUGAUGUUUGGUUAAUCAAGUGAAUGGAAUAUGAGUUGCAAGUGGGCCAUUCCGGGUAAGCUGGACUGGCGAUGCGGGAUCAACCGAACGCUAUGGUACGGCGCCUGAUUAUUCGCUCAGUAGGACGUAAAAGGUGUUAGUUCAUCUAGACAGCAGGACGGUGGCCAUGGAAGUCGGAAUCCGCUAAGGAGUGUGUAACAACUCACCUGCCGAAUGAAGUAGCCCUGAAAAUGGAUGGCGCUAAAGCGAAUAGCCUAACCAUAGCCAUUCGACUUAGUAGUGAAGUCGAAUGAGUAGGAAGGCGUGAUGGAUGUAGCGAAGGUUAGCGUGUGAACGCGAUUGGAACAUCCAUUAGUGCAGAUCUUGGUGGAAGUAGCAAAUAUUCAAAUGAGAUCUUUGAAGACUGAAGUGGAGAAAGGUUCCAUAGGAAUCGUGAUGAUCUAUGGGUUAGUCGAUCCUAAGAGAUAGGUGAAAUCCGUUGAAAGGGUAUUAUCUCAAUACCACUUAUCGAAAGGGAAUCAGGUUAAUAUUCCUGAACCGUGUUAUUCAAAGUCGGUAACGAGUGUCAGAUUGAAGACAUUGAUGGUACUCCUGGGAAGAGUUGUCUUUUCUUGUUAACAAGUGGUUGUGCUUGGAAUAAACUCAGUUUGCGAGAAGCAUGACUGUUUGGUAAAGGUUCGCUUGGAGCGAACUCCGGUGCAGUAUCAUGAGUCCUUGAAAAUUGAAUCUGGCUAUGGAGUGACACGUUCGUACUAAUAACCGCAUCAGGUCUCCAAGGUGAAUAGCCUCUAGUUAAUAGAAUAAUGUAGAUAAGGGAAGUCGGCAAAUUAGAUCCGUAACUUCGGGAAAAGGAUUGGCUCUGAGGGCUAAGUAGUAUGGCAGUGAUGAGUUAACGGCUUGUCGUGUGGUUGUUCGUUGUGGCUUCGGCUGUGAUGAAUGGCUAUGUGAUGAAAAGAGCGCUCGUCGUUGUUGGCUACAAUGAAUAGCUGACUCAGAACUGGUACGGACAAGGGGAAUCCGACUGUUUAAUUAAAACAAAGCAUUGUGAUGGACUGAAAGAGUUGUUGACACAAUGUGAAUUCUGCCCAGUGCUCUGAAUGUCAAAGUGAAGGAAUUCAACCAAGCGCGGGUAAACGGCGGGAGUAACUAUGACUCUCUUAAGGUAGCCAAAUGCCUCGUCAUCUAAUUAGUGACGCGCAUGAAUGGAUUAAUGAGACA
RNAcentral lists this ribosomal RNA (1517 nucleotides) under metagenome. RNAcentral describes it as "eukaryotic LSU rRNA". It matches the Rfam family "Eukaryotic large subunit ribosomal RNA", at positions 786 to 2334 of the family's 3401-position model. The record is from RNAcentral.